Dermacentor silvarum is the source of this 1026-nucleotide long non-coding RNA. RefSeq lists it as uncharacterized. Lineage: Eukaryota; Metazoa; Arthropoda; Arachnida; Ixodida; Ixodidae. The record is from RefSeq and is a predicted model, not a curated record. The transcript is spliced from 2 exons.
UCUUUCAGAGCCGCGUAUACUGCAUCUAUUUUGUCUGCUUUGGACGUGUUAUUAGGUGCACAUUACAAAAUUGCGAUAUCGUUUAGUAUUGCUAUGUCGCAGAGUUGUAAACAUGAUAAUUUCCAAUUUUCGAGACUCUUUCGAAAGACAGCGCCGACAUUAAAUCAACAUCUGCUUCCAGCCCAUACUUGAUUUUACAUUGUAUUUUAAAUGCAAGAAACGUCAUCGAAAUCGGUGUAGCGAUUGCCGAGAAUGUCGAUUUCACCAUUCCUAAGUAUCCGGAGCUAACGCUGCAAGCAUUGCGCAUUUCAGUGCGGGCGCGUCCGGAGUUUCCUUUCUCCGUGCAAACGAAAGGCUAACGGCGCCGCGACUGGCAGACAUGGAAGGAGGAUGAGAUUGGAAUUUUCUGCCUCCCCCCAUGCUCGGCGGCCCUGGCUGCAUAGCGCCUCUUCCUCUUCACAACCACUCUCUCUAGACGCCUCCAACUAUCACGUGACAAAAGCCAUGAGCGAGGGCGUUGGUUUGGUCGCGGGAGCUCAACCUCCCUUUGCCGUUCUCUCUCGCGACGUGCCCUUUCAAUCUUUUCCGUUUCACAUCUUUCACGGCGGGAAGCGGCGCCGGUUGUUCGGGCAAGUCGGUUCGCGCGUUUGUUUCCGACUUCGAAAACUGGCCGAGCGUGCUCUCCAUUUUGUGUCUUCGAUGCGUUAACCAAGGACCCUUGCUGACCCUCGGAGUACGCGGCGUCGCUUCUUUGACUCGGAAAGCGGAUUCUGCCUCGUCGAUACGGACAAAAAAAAAAAAAAAAAAAAGUGCGAAAUCUGAGGUCAAGCAUCAUUGGAACACGCUGAAUUUUCUGCGGGUGCAUCAGCCUGUGGAAAUGUCUAAGCUAGUUCCCUGAAUCGUGAAGUGUCCAAUUUGUUAUAACAGCCAGCCACAAUGCAAAACUCUAGGAGGUGCAUUAGAAACAUUUUGCUUAUGUAGUGGCGUGUUAUUGAUUUAUUAAAAAUUCUUUGAAACCUUUGACCA